AAGAAUACAUUACCAGAUGACUUUGAGGGCAAGAGUUUCCUUUGUACUUCUCAAAGUUUGGCACCUUGAACCUGUGCAGAAUCUUAACAUUGGGAACUAAUAAAAUAUCAGAAGCGUUCUUUCCAAAAAAAGUCUUUUCCUCGUAUGGAUUUUAUUUCCUUUCGCAUUUCUAAGAGUUGAUCUUGAAACUCGUCCAUUC
RNAcentral lists this long non-coding RNA (199 nucleotides) under Lathyrus oleraceus (garden pea). RNAcentral's name for it is "Pisum sativum (pea) long non-coding RNA (PSAT_LNC016522)". The record is from RNAcentral. Lineage: Eukaryota; Viridiplantae; Streptophyta; Magnoliopsida; Fabales; Fabaceae.